GAUGAACGCUGGCGGCGUGCCUAAUACAUGCAAGUAGAACGUUGAAGGAAGGAGCUUGCUCUUUCCGGAUGAGUUGCGAACGGGUGAGUAACGCGUAGGUAACCUGCCUGGUAGCGGGGGAUAACUAUUGGAAACGAUAGCUAAUACCGCAUAACAGUAGAUGUUGCAUGACAUCUGCUUGAAAGGUGCAAUUGCACCACUACCAGAUGGACCUGCGUUGUAUUAGCUAGUUGGUGAGGUAACGGCUCACCAAGGCGACGAUACAUAGCCGACCUGAGAGGGUGAUCGGCCACACUGGGACUGAGACACGGCCCAGACUCCUACGGGAGGCAGCAGUAGGGAAUCUUCGGCAAUGGACGGAAGUCUGACCGAGCAACGCCGCGUGAGUGAAGAAGGUUUUCGGAUCGUAAAGCUCUGUUGUAAGAGAAGAACGAGUGUGAGAGUGGAAAGUUCACACUGUGACG
RNAcentral lists this ribosomal RNA (464 nucleotides) under Streptococcus australis. Its description in RNAcentral is "bacterial SSU rRNA". It matches the Rfam family "Bacterial small subunit ribosomal RNA", at positions 28 to 474 of the family's 1533-position model. Lineage: Bacteria; Bacillati; Bacillota; Bacilli; Lactobacillales; Streptococcaceae. The record is from RNAcentral.